UACACGCUGUGACUAGCAUAUCAAUAAGCGGAGGAAAAGAAACUAACAAGGAUUCCCCUAGUAACGGCGAGUGAAGCGGGAAGAGCUCAAAUUUGAAAUCUUAAAGGGUUUCCCUUUACGAAUUGUAGUUUAAAGAAGUGUUUUCUGUUGAGGUUUUGGUAAAAGUUCUUUGGAAUAGGACAUCAUAGAGGGUGAGAAUCCCGUAUUUGACCUUUACUUUCAACUUUGUGAUACACUUUCAAAGAGUCGGAUUGUUUGGGAAUGCAGUCCAAAAUGGGUGGUAAAUUUCAUCUAAAGCUAAAUAUUGGCGAGAGACCGAUAGCGAACAAGUACCGCGUGAGGGAAAGAUGAAAAGAACUUUGAAAAGAGAGUUAAACAGUACGUGAAAUUGUCAAAAGGGAAGCGUUUGACACCAGUGUUGUUUUUCUGAAAAUCAAUUAAAGAACUGUUUAUGCUAAGUUGUUUAGACUUUAUCAGCUAACUGUUUAGUUUUGAGCUUUUCUUUAAUGCACUUUUCAGUUAACAAGUCAACAUCAAUUUCUUUUGCUGUAAAAAAGCUUGAGGAAGGUGGCUUGAGAUUCGUCUUAAGUGUUUAUAGCCUCUUGCCUAUGCAGUCGGAGAGAUUGAGGUCUGCAGCGUAGAUCCUUCGGGGCUAAAUGCAUUUGUGCUAAGUUAUAGCAUUUUAUAGACAACUUGUUGACUAUGAUUUGUCUUGUAGCUUACUCGCUUAUGUUAUUUUACCUACGCUUAGGAUGUUGACGCAUGAGAUAUACGC
Molecule: ribosomal RNA, 775 nt
Filed under: uncultured Neocallimastigales
Lineage: Eukaryota; Fungi; Neocallimastigomycota; Neocallimastigomycetes; Neocallimastigales
Description: partial large subunit ribosomal RNA
Rfam family: Eukaryotic large subunit ribosomal RNA
Source: RNAcentral